CCUACGGGAGGCAGCAGUGAGGAAUAUUGGUCAAUGGCCGGAAGGCUGAACCAGCCAUGCCGCGUGAAGGUCAGUGCCCUAUGGGCGUUAAACUUCUUUUGUGCGGGAGCAAUAAUGGUCACGUGUGGCCAGACGAGAGUACCGUACGAAUAAGCAUCGGCUAACUCCGUGCCAGCAGCCGCGGUAAGACGGGGGAUGCAAGCGUUAUCCGGAUUUAUUGGGUUUAAAGGGUGCGUAGGCUGUGAGGUAAGGCAGCGGUGAAAUGCCCCCGCUCAACGGGGUGAAGUGCCAUUGAUACUGCCAUGCUGGAAUGCGGAUGCGGUGGGAGGAAUGUGUGGUGUAGCGGUGAAAUGCAUAGAUAUCACACAGAACACCGAUUGCGAAGGCAUCUCACGAAUCCGCGAUUGACGCUGAUGCACGAAAGCGUGGGUAUCAAACAGGAUUAGAUACCCGGGUAGUC
This 460-nucleotide ribosomal RNA is filed under the name uncultured bacterium. Its description in RNAcentral is "partial 16S ribosomal RNA". It matches the Rfam family "Bacterial small subunit ribosomal RNA", at positions 338 to 795 of the family's 1533-position model. The record is from RNAcentral.